UGGACGAAAGUCUGACCGAGCAACGCCGCGUGAGUGAAGAAGGUUUUCGGAUCGUAAAGCUCUGUUGUAAGUCAAGAACGUGUGUGAGAGUGGAAAGUUCACACAGUGACGGUAGCUUACCAGAAAGGGACGGCUAACUACGUGCCAGCAGCCGCGGUAAUACGUAGGUCCCGAGCGUUGUCCGGAUUUAUUGGGCGUAAAGGGAGCGCAGGCGGUCAGGAAAGUCUGGAGUAAAAGGCUAUGGCUCAACCAUAGUGUGCUCUGGAAACUGUCUGACUUGAGUGCAGAAGGGGAGAGUGGAAUUCCAUGUGUAGCGGUGAAAUGCGUAGAUAUAUGGAGGAACACCAGUGGCGAAAGCGGCUCUCUGGUCUGUCACUGACGCUGAGGCUCGAAAGCGUGGGUAAGCGAACAGGAUUAGAUACCCUGGUAGUCCACGCCGUAAACGAUGAGUGCUAGGUGUUAGGCCCUUUCCGGGGCUUAGUGCCGGAGCUAACGCAAUAAGCACUCCGCCUGGGGAGUACGACCGCAAGGUUGAAACUCAAAGGAAUUGACGGGGGCCCGCACAAGCGGUGGAGCAUGUGGUUUAAUUCGAAGCAAC
RNAcentral lists this ribosomal RNA (598 nucleotides) under Streptococcus mutans. RNAcentral describes it as "bacterial SSU rRNA". It matches the Rfam family "Bacterial small subunit ribosomal RNA", at positions 372 to 960 of the family's 1533-position model. The record is from RNAcentral. Lineage: Bacteria; Bacillati; Bacillota; Bacilli; Lactobacillales; Streptococcaceae.